This 432-nucleotide ribosomal RNA is filed under the name uncultured bacterium. RNAcentral's name for it is "partial 16S ribosomal RNA". It matches the Rfam family "Bacterial small subunit ribosomal RNA", at positions 29 to 506 of the family's 1533-position model. The record is from RNAcentral.
AACGAACGCUGGCGGCAUGCCUAACACAUGCAAGUCGAACGAGACCUUCGGGUCUAGUGGCGCACGGGUGCGUAACGCGUGGGAACCUGCCCUUAGGUUCGGAAUAACUCCCCGAAAGGGGUGCUAAUACCGGAUAAUGUCUUCGGACCAAAGAUUUAUCGCCUUUGGAUGGGCCCGCGUUGGAUUAGCUAGUUGGUAGGGUAAAAGCCUACCAAGGCGACGAUCCAUAGCUGGUCUGAGAGGAUGAUCAGCCACACUGGGACUGAGACACGGCCCAGACUCCUACGGGAGGCGGCGAGGGGGAAAAUUGGACAAGGGGCAAAAGCCUGAUCCGCCACUGCCGCGUGAGUAGUAAAGGCCUAGGGGUUGAAAGGCUCUUUUCCCCGGGAUGAAAAGGACAAAACCGGGAAAAAAGGCCCCGGCUACCCCCGU